GGGCCUGUAGCUCAGAGGGAGAGCGCUUGACUCGCAUUCAAGAGGUCGGGGGUUCGAUUCCCCCCAGGUCCACCA
This 75-nucleotide transfer RNA is filed under the name Bacillota bacterium. RNAcentral's name for it is "Firmicutes bacterium (sediment metagenome) tRNA-Ala". It matches the Rfam family "tRNA". Rfam says of the family: Transfer RNA (tRNA) molecules are approximately 80 nucleotides in length. Their secondary structure includes four short double-helical elements and three loops (D, anti-codon, and T loops). Lineage: Bacteria; Bacillati; Bacillota. The record is from RNAcentral.